Molecule: transfer RNA, 74 nt
Filed under: Candidatus Pacearchaeota archaeon
Lineage: Archaea; Nanobdellati
Also listed under: 1 other name
Description: tRNA-Trp
Rfam family: tRNA
About the family: Transfer RNA (tRNA) molecules are approximately 80 nucleotides in length. Their secondary structure includes four short double-helical elements and three loops (D, anti-codon, and T loops).
Source: RNAcentral
AGGGGCGUGGUGAAACGGCAUCACAUCGGUCUCCAAAACCGCUAUUGAGGGUUCGAUUCCUUCCGCCCCUGCCA